GGGCUCCAUGCACUGUCUGGAGUAAGUUGGAUGCGCGCUUCCCUCACUCGCCUCCCGAAGCCACCUCAAAACUGUUGCGAUGGGGAGGAUCAGGAAAAAUCACUUUGGAUUUUUGAUCUUUUCGUUGCUCGGGACUUUUAUUCACAGCCAAAGCAUCAAGGAUAUCAGAGACCCGAGUAACAUGCCUCUGGUGAAAGACACGGUGGACAGGCUGAUGAAGGGGUACGACAUUCGGUUGAGGCCGGAUUUCGGAGGUGCGCCCGUGGCGGUUGGAAUGAAUAUAGACAUCUCUAGUAUCGACAUGGUGUCUGAAGUCAACAUGG
Molecule: long non-coding RNA, 323 nt
Organism: Gadus chalcogrammus (walleye pollock)
Lineage: Eukaryota; Metazoa; Chordata; Actinopteri; Gadiformes; Gadidae
Exons: 3
Source: RefSeq, a predicted model, not a curated record